GGUUUGGAUUUAUGGGGCUUUAUUCAUAAAAAAAGGGGGAUUUUCAACACUUCGGACUAUAACUCAAAAAGGCUUUCACCAAUGUCCAUGAAACUUUGGUGAAUUGUUUAUAUCUAUUGAUGUAAGCUCCCUUUCAAUUUUUAUAAAUUUCAGAUUUUAAGUUUUGGAUUUAUGGGGCUUUAUUCAUAAAAAAGGGUGAUUUUCAACACUUCGGACAAUAACUCAAAAAGGCUUUCACCAAUGUCCAUGAAACUUUGGUGAAUUGUUUAUAUCUAUUGAUGUAAGCUCCCUUU
This 293-nucleotide long non-coding RNA is filed under the name Mytilus galloprovincialis (Mediterranean mussel). Lineage: Eukaryota; Metazoa; Mollusca; Bivalvia; Mytilida; Mytilidae. The record is from RNAcentral.